RNAcentral lists this unclassified non-coding RNA (240 nucleotides) under soil metagenome. RNAcentral's name for it is "partial contains 5.8S ribosomal RNA, internal transcribed spacer 2, and large subunit ribosomal RNA". The record is from RNAcentral.
AACCUUAUGGACCUGCGGGCGUAUACCUGCGGAAGGAUCAUUAAAGAGUGUAAAAGCUCCCUAAAACCAUCGUGAACCUAUCCCGUUAGCGUUGCUUCUCCGGCGGGCGGCCCCUAGGGGGGGCCAGCGCCCUGUGCGCCCGCCGGAGGCCAAAACUACCUGAAUUUUAUAGCGGCAUCUCUGAGUAAAACAAGCAAAAAAGUCAAAACUUUCAACAACGGAUCUCAGAUCGGAAGAGCA